AAUCUUCCUGCUGAUAUUAAAGAAUCAAUAACAGAUAUUAUUAAGUUCAUGCUACGCGAAUGACGCUUACCUUCAGAUGGCCAUUGGCAAUGCUCCCUGGCCUAUUGGUGUCACUAUGGUCGGCAUCCACGCCAGAACUGGCAGGGAAAAGAUUUUUUCCAAGCAUGUUGCCCAUGUCUUAAAUGAUGAAACCCAACGAAAAUACAUUCAGGGACUGAAGAGGUUAAUGACAAUCUGCCAGAAGCACUUUCCUACAGACCCGUCCAAGUGUGUGGAGUACAAUGCACUGUAAGGUGCUGUAAAG
This 304-nucleotide long non-coding RNA is filed under the name Rattus norvegicus (Norway rat). Its description in RNAcentral is "long non-coding RNA NONRATT012627". The record is from RNAcentral. Lineage: Eukaryota; Metazoa; Chordata; Mammalia; Rodentia; Muridae.